UUGGACCUGAUAUCAGGCAAGAUUACCCGC
This 30-nucleotide ribosomal RNA is filed under the name Phytophthora cinnamomi. RNAcentral's name for it is "partial 28S ribosomal RNA". The record is from RNAcentral. Lineage: Eukaryota; Oomycota; Peronosporomycetes; Peronosporales; Peronosporaceae. RNAcentral also lists the same sequence under 3 other names.